Molecule: ribosomal RNA, 497 nt
Filed under: uncultured bacterium
Lineage: Bacteria
Description: partial 16S ribosomal RNA
Rfam family: Bacterial small subunit ribosomal RNA
Source: RNAcentral
GACGAACGCUGGCGGCGUGCCUAAUACAUGCAAGUAGAACGCUGAAGAGAGGAGCUUGCUCUUCUUGGAUGAGUUGCGAACGGGUGAGUAACGCGUAGGUAACCUGCCUUGUAGCGGGGGAUAACUAUUGGAAACGAUAGCUAAUACCGCAUAACAAUGGGUGACACAUGUCAUUUAUUUGAAAGGGGCAAUUGCUCCACUACAAGAUGGACCUGCGUUGUAUUAGCUAGUAGGUGAGGUAAUGGCUCACCUAGGCGACGAUACAUAGCCGACCUGAGAGGGUGAUCGGCCACACUGGGACUGAGACACGGCCCAGACUCCUACGGGAGGCAGCAGUAGGGAAUCUUCGGCAAUGGGGGCAACCCUGACCGAGCAACGCCGCGUGAGUGAAGAAGGUUUUCGGAUCGUAAAGCUCUGUUGUAAGUCAAGAACGGGUGUGAGAGUGGAAAGUUCACACUGUGACGGUAGCUUACCAGAAAGGGACGGCUAACUACGUG